RNAcentral lists this ribosomal RNA (603 nucleotides) under uncultured bacterium. RNAcentral's name for it is "bacterial SSU rRNA". It matches the Rfam family "Bacterial small subunit ribosomal RNA", at positions 96 to 697 of the family's 1533-position model. The record is from RNAcentral.
CGGCGCACGGGUGCGUAACGCGUAUGCAAUCUACCCUUUACAGAGGGAUAGCCCAGAGAAAUUUGGAUUAAUACCUCAUAGUAUAUAGCCCUGGCAUCAGGAUUAUAUUAAAGUCACAACGGUAAAAGAUGAGCAUGCGUCCCAUUAGCUAGUUGGUAAGGUAACGGCUUACCAAGGCUACGAUGGGUAGGGGUCCUGAGAGGGAGAUCCCCCACACUGGUACUGAGACACGGACCAGACUCCUACGGGGGGCAGCAGUGAGGAAUAUUGGACAAUGGGCGCAAGCCUGAUCCAGCCAUGCCGCGUGCAGGAUGACGGUCCUAUGGAUUGUAAACUGCUUUUAUACGAGAAGAAACACUCCUUCGUGAAGGAGCUUGACGGUAUCGUAAGAAUAAGGAUCGGCUAACUCCGUGCCAGCAGCCGCGGUAAUACGGAGGAUCCAAGCGUUAUCCGGAAUCAUUGGGUUUAAAGGGUCCGUAGGCGGUUUAAUAAGUCAGUGGUGAAAGCCCAUCGCUCAACGGUGGAACGGCCAUUGAUACUGUUAGACUUGAAUUAUUAGGAAGUAACUAGAAUAUGUAGUGUAGCGGUGAAAUGCUUAGAGAU